UUCAUGUGAUUUAUCAUACAAAUUUAUUAAACUGUACAUCAGUAAACAACCUAUUUUGGAGGUAGGAUAUCAUGAAAGAGUGUUGUACUGGUGGGAAUUUUCCAAAAGUGGAUUGGCAACACUGG
This is a long non-coding RNA of Homalodisca vitripennis (glassy-winged sharpshooter), 125 nucleotides long. RefSeq lists it as uncharacterized. The record is from RefSeq and is a predicted model, not a curated record. NCBI's taxonomy places the organism in Eukaryota, Metazoa, Arthropoda, Insecta, Hemiptera, Cicadellidae. The transcript has 2 exons.